CAGAUUAGCAGAGUAAAGUUAUAUUUAAUUUCAACUCAAAGUAUGACAUAAAUACCUGCGAUUCUACACUGAUACAAGUGAGUCAAUCAGUUAAUAAAUGGAAGAAAAUUCCAAAUAAAUCAUUUAAAUGCUGCACCCUCAAGUUGGUGAGAACUUGAGAACUCUCCACCCCUUGUGCAUGACUGCACAGCAAGACUUUCCUCCUGAGAAGGGACAAGUCACUGUAGCUGGAAACCGGACACACCCAGACGGAGAUGGGGCACGGCACCUGUGUGUUCCCUUGAUGGGAGGUAGUAUGGAGGCACUUGGCCUUUGGUGUUCCUCCCAAACCACAGCCCCAGUCCAACCCUGAGAGAAACACCAGUCAAAACCCAGUUCAGGGGCCGCACAGUGCACCCUUGGAACCACCCAGAUGUCUAGUCAUGGAGAGCAAGAAACUGUCGCAGCCAAGAGGAACCCCAGGCCCACAUCUAUGUUCAGUGGGGUCCAGAAUGGGGUCUAGGAUGGAAAAAGGACAGGAGGAAAAACCAAAGCUUUCUUCCCUGUGUGUAGAUAUAAGCCGGACUGGAGCCCUUGUGCAUGGGUGCUUCUGGGAACAUUCCUCUGCUUCUUUCCCUGCUUCUGCCCACCUUAUGCCUGCUGCAGAGGACUUUGUGGGAAGGACUGAGGGAAGGGCCAGAUCUCUAGAUUGCAGGAAGACUGGACAGUGUUCCAAAUGUACCGUGGGAGCUUCUGCCAAUUCCUUGCACAUGCUGUAGCUGCUGUGGGCCCAGACCCAUGCAUGUGGUGGGAGUGUCUCCCUCUAGGAGUUUGCUCUUGGUGCUUGGUGAUCAGCUGUAAGCAGAGCAGCCAUGAGGAAGUGUUUCUGAUGUUUCUGUUUAGCACUGGCCUGUGGUGGCAGUGGUCCCACCUGGCAGACCUGCCCAGGGCAAGUAUAGGGCCUUCUCAGUGCUCCAGGAGCCAGUCAAGCCUUUGUGCAGACACCUGGAGAAGUAACAGCCUGUGUCCACACUGCCUGUCUGUCCUGGUAUGAGGGUGCUUGCUGGGAGGGACCCCAGCUUGCCUCCUGGUUUCCUGUACUGAGAUGAGGCCAGGGCUGCCAUCUGUCUCCUCGAUGCGAAACUCAGGGCCUCUCUGGCAGGCUCUUCCCAGGUCCCUCCUCCUGGCCCUGCUCAGCAGCCCUGCUCAGCAGCUCCGCCCAGCAGCUCUGCAUAGCAAUUCUGCCACUCCUGAGUCUGGCCAGUUCCGGGCCCUGUUCUGUGGAGGGAGCAGCUGUUUUUCUCUGCAGUCGUCCUCAUUGGCCCAGAUUGAGGGCGGAGGGCACUUCCGAGCAAGGGAGCCAGGGACGGAACCGAGCAGCCGGCCUGGGCUGGCCCCUACUCACCAGCUCAGCAGUACCCCCAUCAUGUUUGGGGAUCACUGUGGUCUCCCCACAGACAGAGCUCUGCUCGGCCAGCCCCCUAAAACUGGAUUCUGCUACAAAAUGGUGCUUCAGGCAGUCAGCAAAGUACUCAGCGGUGCUGCCCACAGAAGGAAGCAAGACACCAGUACCCAGCCCAGGACCCCGUGGUGUCACAGAGGGAGCCAGAGUGGGAAGUCGGCCUCAGUCUGGAAAGCUCCACUUGCGGGUGCAUGGCAGAACUGUUCACAGGGCAGUUCCCCUGGGCAGGCCCCGAGAGCAAGACCCAAGGGCCGGGGGGUGCCUGGUUCCUCGAGGAGGCUUUGCCUGCUGCUCACAGAGCAUGAAGUGGAUCAGAAGCUGGUCUGGGAUCCUGGUGCGCCCUCCCCCCUCUUGCAGUCUGCCCUGCCAUGCAGUAUGGCCCCUCCGGAGGAAGACUGGGCUCAGCCCAUGUGGCUGUCCAGGAAAUCUAAAGCAAAGCCCAAUGGCAAGAAGCCUGCUGGGGAAGAGAAGAAGGUGUACCUGGAGCCAGAGCAUACUAAAUCCAGGAUCACCGACUUUGAGUUCAAGGAGCUGGUGAUGCUGCCCCGGGAGAUUGACCUCAAUGAGUGGCUGGCCAGUAACACAACAACAUUUUUCCACCACAUCAACCUGCAGUAUAGCACAAUCUCAGAAUUUUGCACAGGAGAGACAUGUCAGACGAUGGCCGUGUGCAACACUACUACUGGCAUGACGAGAGGGGGAAGAAGGUCAAGUGCACAGCCCCCCAGUAUGUCGACUUUGUCAUGAGCUCUGUGCAGAAACUGGUGACCGAUGAAGAUGUGUUCCCCACAAAAUACGGCCGAGAGUUUCCCAGCUCCUUCGAGGCCCUGGUGAAGAAGAUCUGCAGGCAC
RNA transcript from Cavia porcellus (domestic guinea pig), 2292 nucleotides. It is a transcript of the gene named MOB kinase activator 2, with no coding region annotated. NCBI's taxonomy places the organism in Eukaryota, Metazoa, Chordata, Mammalia, Rodentia, Caviidae. The transcript has 6 exons. The record is from RefSeq and is a predicted model, not a curated record.